GACGAACGCUGGCGGCGUGCUUAACACAUGCAAGUCGAGCGGUAAGGCCCUUUCGGGGUACGACGAGCGGCGAACGGGUAGGAGUAACAACGUGGGUGGACCUCGCCCUCCAGCUCUGGGAGUAAGACCCGGGAAACCGUAGGGUCGUAAUACCGGAUAUGACUUCAUGACGCAUGUUGUGGAGUGGAAAGCCUUGUGCGGCUGAGGAUGGGCCCGCGGCCUAUCAGCUUGUUGGUGGGGUGANGGCCUACCAAGGCGACGACGGGUAGCCGGCCUGAGAGGGCGACCGGCCACACUGGGACUGAGACACGGCCCAGACUCCUACGGGAGGCAGCAGGUGGGGAAUCUUGCGCAAUGGGCGAAAGCCUGACG
Molecule: ribosomal RNA, 372 nt
Filed under: uncultured bacterium
Lineage: Bacteria
Description: bacterial SSU rRNA
Rfam family: Bacterial small subunit ribosomal RNA
Source: RNAcentral